This 20-nucleotide unclassified non-coding RNA is filed under the name Chlamydomonas reinhardtii. RNAcentral's name for it is "small RNA Cre_1028". The record is from RNAcentral. Lineage: Eukaryota; Viridiplantae; Chlorophyta; Chlorophyceae; Chlamydomonadales; Chlamydomonadaceae.
CCAUUACUGUGGGGUGCUAG